CAGUAGCCGCGGGAAUACGAAGGGUGCAAGCGUUAAUCGGAAUUACUGGGCGUAAAGCGUGCGUAGGCGGUGAGUUAAGUCUGUUGUGAAAUCCCCGGGCUCAACCUGGGAAUGGCAAUGGAUACUGGCAAGCUAGAGUGUGUCAGAGGAUGGUGGAAUUCCCGGUGUAGCGGUGAAAUGCGUAGAGAUCGGGAGGAACAUCAGUGGCGAAGGCGGCCAUCUGGGACAACACUGACGCUGAGGCACGAAAGCGUGGGGAGCAAACAGGAUUAGAUACCCGUGUAGUCCCUGUCUCUUAUAC
This 301-nucleotide ribosomal RNA is filed under the name uncultured bacterium. RNAcentral describes it as "partial 16S ribosomal RNA". It matches the Rfam family "Bacterial small subunit ribosomal RNA", at positions 509 to 807 of the family's 1533-position model. The record is from RNAcentral.